RNAcentral lists this long non-coding RNA (693 nucleotides) under Homo sapiens (human). Its description in RNAcentral is "HSALNT0358996". Lineage: Eukaryota; Metazoa; Chordata; Mammalia; Primates; Hominidae. The record is from RNAcentral.
CUUGCCUAAAGUUACCCAGCUGAUUAAUGUGACAGAGCCAGAGUUUUAAACCAAAACUAUCUUUCUCCAAAGGUUCCAGGCAUGAAGCAUGUGCUGUCCUGGGCCCUGAAUAUCAAGCCAGGUAGAGGAACCCCAUCCUUCUGUUGUCAUUUCAAGCUAGAGGCUCAAGCCUGGAGGAGUGAGGAUCAAGAUCGAGAACUCAAAGCUGUUUAGAGGAAGAAGCCAAGUUCAAGGAGGAGUGAGGAACGCUUGAGGCGAAACCUUUUGGAAGCUCAGGAAGCUUGGAGGAUUUCGUGGAUUACAGAAUGUUGAAGUUGGAGAACUGUAGAGGGGCCUAAAAAAUGUUCCAGAAUCAAGACGGUGCCUGAUGCCCUACCUAGCCCCUCUCCAGCACACAGGAGCCCCGGGCCCUUGGCAAUCAUGUCUGCGCAGCUUGGACCCCAUAUCCAAAAGGGGAGCACGCCCCAAUUUACUCUCACCCCACCAGGUUAAUCCAUGAGAAGAGCUUGGAACAGCGCCCGGCAGUGUCUCAGCGCACCCAAAGUGUGUGCAGACAUGCUCACUCUAGAAGAAACUAGUUGCCAUGUUGUGAGGAUACUCAACAGUCCUGUGGAGGGGGCCACAUGUAGAAAGACCGCAUGUGGAAAGAAACUGACUUGCUAGCAGCAACUUUACAGGCUGGAGUACAGUGGU